This 1990-nucleotide ribosomal RNA is filed under the name uncultured eukaryote. RNAcentral describes it as "partial small subunit ribosomal RNA". It matches the Rfam family "Eukaryotic small subunit ribosomal RNA", at positions 642 to 1795 of the family's 1831-position model. The record is from RNAcentral.
ACGAGGUAAAUAGUUGUUUCAAUGGAGGCAGUCGCAAUUCCACACAACAUACUCAUCGGAUUCGAUUAGCUAUGCGUAUAUUUGCUAUACACACGCUUUAGAAUUUAUUCUCCUUUCAACACUGUGAACAAAUCAGAGUGUAUCAAACAUGUCGUUUUUGAAUGUGCAUUGAAUGUCUUAUCAUGGGAUGUUGCACUUUCUGCGUUAAAAAUUUAUUACUGCUUCGUGCUGUAAUUAUUUUUUUACACACACACACACACACAUACGCACAUGUUGUAUGCCACGUAAAUAAUUUUUAACGGUUAAAAAUGUCGAUGGGGAUAGUUGGAGUCAACAGUACUGCUGGGCGAGAGGUGAAAUUCAUUGACCCUAGCAAGACUACCAAAAGCGAAAGCAGUUGGCUAGGCUAUACUCUUUGUGAUUAUAUAUAUUUUAUCACGCAUAAAUAUACACACACACACAUACACACUCACGUAUAUACAUGCGGUCAGUAUAAAUAUAUACACUUUACAAUGAAGAACGAAGGUUGGGGGAUCAAAGAGGAUCAGAUACCCUCGUCGUCCCAUUAAUUACAUCAAACGAUGGGCUCUCAAUUGCAUUUUCUCGUAAAUUGCAAAUUUCCUCAGCCUACAAAAUGAAUUGGCUUGAGCUCGUAUUAUAAUACGCACGCUCGCCUCUUUUCGUACGGUCUCGAUGGACGUUUCAUUUAUAUUUUUUUGCGUGUAAGCAUUAUGUUAUUCUUUGAAACAUAAGAAUGCAUUGCGUGCACUUGAUUUUCGGAGCUUUGCGCUCAAUUCUGGUGAGAUGUAAGCACUGUGUCAUAUUACCCGCAGCGUAUAUUUCCGACUUUUCGUUUCUGUCUGUGCAGUUGACAAUCUUGGUGUGAAGCACGCAUUAGGCACGCGCUUACUGCAGAAAUGUCUGAGACACUCUCCUCCGGGGGAAGUAUGUACGCAAGUAUGAAACUUGAAGGAAUUGACGGAAGGGCACCACAAGAACGCGUGGAGCAUGUGGCUUAAUUUGACUCAACGCGGGAAAUCUUACCGGGUCCGGACACACUGAGGAUUGACAGGCAAUAUUAAUAAUUUUAUGUGCAUCUCACGUUAGAAAUUUUGUUAAAUAUGCUAGUCCUUUCAUGAUUAUGUGAUAGGUGGUGCAUGGCCGUUCUUAGUUCGUGGAGUGAUCUGUCUGCUUAAUUGCGUUUCACUAAGGGCCUAUAAAUUCACGUAUGUUGCGACACUUUGACCCCUCCUCUGUGUGCGUGCGUCUUUGUUUGUUUAGCUCAUACAAUUAGGUCCUGAAAGCAACGAACGUGACCGCAUCCUCUUGUUGCUUUUUGAUUGUGUGUGUACUCGAGGAGUCACACAAGUAUUUUUAUGCACAGAAAGCCUUUUAAACUAGAGGGACCGCUGUUACUUUCUUAAACCAGAGGAAGGUUGCGGCAAUAACAGGUCUGUGAUGCCCUUAGAUGUUCCGGGCUGCACACGUGCUACAAUGAUUAUUGCAGUGAGCAUCUCAUUUUAUUAUUCACACCGCAUGCGCCGAGACCAUUAUUCUCCUCUUCGCGAGUGUUUUAAAUGUGUAUCUCUGCGCGCGGUAAAGCCUACUUCGAAAGUAAGCGGGUAAUCAAUUAGAAGUAAUGAUUUCCUAUAUUUUAUUGUAUCACACACUCUCGUAUGGUAUAAUAAUUCUGCACACAUAUAUACGGCAUCUUUACCCGUUUAGCUCCGUAUGUGCGAUUGUCAAUUCAUGGUGGGGACAGACCAUUGUUAAUUGUUGGUCUCGGUCUUAACUAGGAAUGCCUUGUACUGGUCUUUGGUUCAACAAACCACCAGGAAUACGUCCCUGCCCUUUGUACACACCGCCCGUCGCUCUUACCGAUGGACUUCUCUGUGAGUUUGAGGACUGGGAACGCAUAUAAUUUCGAUUAUUUGCACACCUAUGGAAACUUAAACGAACAGUGUGGUCUAAAGGAAAGAGAAGUCGUAAC